RNAcentral lists this ribosomal RNA (433 nucleotides) under uncultured bacterium. Its description in RNAcentral is "partial 16S ribosomal RNA". It matches the Rfam family "Bacterial small subunit ribosomal RNA", at positions 29 to 507 of the family's 1533-position model. The record is from RNAcentral.
AGCGAACGCUGGCGGCAUGCCUAACACAUGCAAGUCGAACGAGACCUUCGGGUCUAGCGGCGCACGGGUGCGUAACGCGUGGGAACCUGCCCUUAGGUACGGAAUAACUCCGCGAAAGAGGUGCUAAUACCGGAUAAGCUCUUCGGAGCAAAGAUUUAUCGCCUUUGGAUGGGCCCGCGUUGGAUUAGCUAGUUGGUAGGGUAAAAGCCUACCAAGACGACGAUCCAUAGCUGGUCUGAGAGGAUGAUCAGCCACACUGGGACUGAGACACGGCCCAGACUCCUACGGGAGGCAGCAGUGGGGAAUAUUAGACAAUGGGCGCAAGCCUGAUCCAGCAAUGCCGCGUGAGUGAUGAAGGCCUUAGGGUUGUAAAGCUCUUUUAGCCGGGAUGAUAAUGACGGUACCGGGAGAAGAAGCUCCGGCUAACUCCGUG